UCCUCCACACGGCGCUGCCCGGCUCCACAGGUAGAGCCUUCCAGCGCGCCCCUGAGAAGCUGGUGAAGGCUGCCUUUGCCAAGAAAGUCCAGCCUUCUUCUGCUCCUUUUUGGGCAGUCCAGAAGGAAAAUAUGUGUCUCCUUCCAUAACAGUCUGGCUUUCUUGUCAGAAAGGCAAAAAACACCUUUAAAAUGUUCUGAAGAAAUGGACCAGUUGGUACUGUGGUUCAACUGCUCAAAACACACCAGAAACUCCAAAUGUGGCUCUAAGUGACCUUCAGGUAAUAUCUAAGUCUGCCUGAAGAUAAAAAUAAUAGAAUCAUCAAGUCAUCAAGGUUGGAAGAGACCUUCAAGAUCAUCCAGUCCAGCCAUCCACCCAGCACUGCCCCUGUAAGCCCUGAACCACUAAACCACAUCCCCCAAUGCCAGAUCCAGAUGCCUCCUGAACACCUUCAGGGAUGUGACUCCACCACAUCCAUGGGCAACCUAUUCCAAUGCCUGAUCAUCUUACAGUGAAUUUUUUUUUCUAAUACCCAAUCUGAAUGUCCUUUGUCUCAUCUUUUAGUCCUCUCACUGUAGGCACAGCAGAAGAGACCAGCCCCCACCUCACAACAACCUCUUUUUGUGAAGUUGUAAAGAGCAAUGAAGUCCACCCUGAGCCUCUGCUUCUCCAGGCUAAAGAACCCCAGCUCCAUUUGGGUGUCUCAGUACCCGACUCCAAAGAUAACUUAUCUGAAAGUGCCAAGGUGCUUAGAUCCUGCUGCUCCCAACCAGGCUCACUAGGGUAAAAACCUGCAAGUGCCUAGAGCAAGAAGAUAGUGCACAACUUUAAUGCUGCUAUUGAUAGUAUAAAAACUUAGAAUUUUUCAACAAUGUGAAUGGAGGCUGAGCAAAGGAGAGAACAUGAGCAAGAGCAAACCUCAACCCAACAGGCAAAAGCAAACCACAGGAGGGUGGGAGGGGUGCGCAGAGCAUGAGCACAGGGCUGACACUAUGACUUCACUAGUGAAGUAGGUCCUGAUAUUACCCCUUGCUACAUCAGGUCAUUAUCCCUGAAGGCAUGAAUUAAACAUUUAAACAAAUGGGGGCUCAGUCAACUUCCAUGCCUUUGGGGGAGAGAGCAGAUGAUGAUCAGAUGAUGCGAACUCCCUCAGAUUUGCCAAACCCAAGAUACACCCUAAAGAUGGCUUUGUUUACAGCACUGAAGACAGAACAUAGGCAGGCAGAGAAAAAAACCCAAAACAUUUCCAGGCUAUUCACUGGCUCUGAUGCUGAUGAAAUCACAGCCAGAUGUCAAACAGAUGUUAGAUUGUACCAGGUCAUGAAGAGGGGAUGCCUAUCUGAUGCCAUAUUCUAUGGUAACAUCCAUGCUAUGGCCAAAGAAGAGGAUAACAUUUCCUUUCCACCCCUUCUCUGCCAUUAACUCUCUCAGCUUUUUAAUACAAGAUGAUAGUGUUUGCCUUGUGAAGGACUUGGUCUCAGUUUUAUGACUUCUUCUGUUACCCACCUUUCACUUUUUUUUUUCUUUUUUCUUUUUUCCUUUUUUCUUUUUUUGUGAAAGAAGUUCACAAGGAGCAGGGUUAAAAGCAGGUUCUCACAGAGUGAACUGUAGUGAAGCACUCCUAGAAGUCACUGGGAAUUCACCUUGAAAAUCCAGAGCCAGAUGGGCAAAACCACAAAACCAGCAAAAACGUAAGGCAUGGUUCCUUUUGCUGUGAUGGAAAGGACUGUUACUUAUCUCACUCUGCCUUCUUGGUGCAGCUAUGAAGUUGGUCAAUAGAAAAGUUAUUUCAGAGUGGUUGGGGAAAGAGCUACAAAAGAGACAAGGAUGAAAGAAACAUCACAACACCAUGCUCUGCAGGCAACCUGCGCUCUGUGGGAGGUACUUCUCCAUCCGCCUAGCAAUAGUGCUGUCUGUCUGUCUGAAGGGGAGGAAGAAAGGUCCUGAAUACAAAUCUGACCUUUAUUUGCACUCACAUUAUGAGUGCAGGAGUAUGACUAACCUAAGCACAGAUCUCUAGAGUUUCAACCCUAAAACCACAGCUAGUGCCACAAUGGUUCUGUCAGAACAUCCUCUGUGGAAACUGGACACUUUCCUUUCUCAGCACAUCCAUUUAGCUGUUGUCCCCACAAAUGAGGUCUACAGCGAACUAUAAAAAUGGGCAAGAAAUUCACAACUAAGUUUAGGAGACAUGCUGUUUCCUAAGUUUGGUUUAUUUGUUUGAAUAGACCCAAAGUGUCAAGGAAAGUACAGAGUCUGACUAUGGAUUUAUAAGUACUCAAGUCAACCAUCCCCCCCACAAAAAAAAAACCAAAACCAAACAGAAAAAUCCCAAAAAACAACCACACAAAACCAAAAAACCACAGAUAAAUAAAGUUGAAUUACCUCAUGAAUAAUAUACCCAAAAGGUAAAGCCCUAGGGUAGUCCAAAGGAGCACCACAAAUAGCUUAAUCUCCAACACAAGAAGAGCAGUGUUGACUAUUCAAAGGACCCACCUCCAGGAAAUCAACAGAUUCAACUUUCAAAAAAACCUUUGGGAUGGAAUGAGUCUUGCAGAGAAGAAAAUGAGGAAAAAUGUGCAUCAUGAGCCUGUCCACCUGAAAAGGUGUGUCUGAUGGUAUUAGUUAUCUGACCAGCAUCAUCUAUUAUAAACCAGUACAGGUAACACAAAGCAUAAUCAGUGCAUCUGCAUGCAGCUUCAGGGAUUAUCUGAAAAAAUACUUCUCAAGCUGUGAUCACUACUGACUGCUUUUAUUUCUUCACUGUGACUAUAUCCAAAGCGGAUGCAAGGAUGAAAAAAUAAAGGAAACAGAAAUGAGCAAUAGUAAGAA
This is a long non-coding RNA of Passer domesticus (house sparrow), 2832 nucleotides long. RefSeq lists it as uncharacterized. NCBI's taxonomy places the organism in Eukaryota, Metazoa, Chordata, Aves, Passeriformes, Passeridae. The transcript is spliced from 2 exons. The record is from RefSeq and is a predicted model, not a curated record.